This 96-nucleotide transfer RNA is filed under the name Microbotryum lychnidis-dioicae p1A1 Lamole. RNAcentral describes it as "tRNA-Leu for anticodon CAG". It matches the Rfam family "tRNA". From Rfam's summary of the family: Transfer RNA (tRNA) molecules are approximately 80 nucleotides in length. Their secondary structure includes four short double-helical elements and three loops (D, anti-codon, and T loops). Further hydrogen bonds mediate the characteristic L-shaped molecular structure. tRNAs have two regions of fundamental functional importance: the anti-codon, which is responsible for specific mRNA codon recognition, and the 3' end, to which the tRNAs corresponding amino acid is attached (by aminoacyl-tRNA synthetases). tRNAs cope with the degeneracy of the genetic code in two manners: having more than one tRNA (with a specific anti-codon) for a particular amino acid; and 'wobble' base-pairing, i.e. permitting non-standard base-pairing at the 3rd anti-codon position. Lineage: Eukaryota; Fungi; Basidiomycota; Microbotryomycetes; Microbotryales; Microbotryaceae. RNAcentral also lists the same sequence under 1 other name. The record is from Rfam by way of RNAcentral.
GGCCAGAUGUUCGAGUGGUCUAAGAAGCUAGCUUCAGGUUGUUUUACGUGAUCUCGCUAGUCCGAAAGGGCGUGGGUUCAAAUCCCACUCUGGUCA